This 468-nucleotide ribosomal RNA is filed under the name uncultured bacterium. RNAcentral's name for it is "partial 16S ribosomal RNA". It matches the Rfam family "Bacterial small subunit ribosomal RNA", at positions 28 to 507 of the family's 1533-position model. The record is from RNAcentral.
GACGAACGCUGGCGGCGUGCUUAACACAUGCAAGUCGAACGGAAAGGCCCUGCUUUUGUGGGGUUCUCGAUUGGCGAACGGGUGAGUAACACGUGAGUAACCUGCCCUUGACUUUGGGAUAACUUCAGGAAACUGGGGCUAAUACCGGAUAGGAGCUCCUGCUGCAUGGUGGGGGUUGGAAAGUUUCGGCGGUUGGGGAUGGACUCGCGGCUUAUCAGCUUGUUGGUGGGGUAGUGGCUUACCAAGGCUUUGACGGGUAGCCGGCCUGAGAGGGUGACCGGCCACAUUGGGACUGAGAUACGGCCCAGACUCCUACGGGAGGCAGCAGUGGGGAAUAUUGCACAAUGGGCGGAAGCCUGAUGCAGCAACGCCGCGUGCGGGAUGACGGCCUUCGGGUUGUAAACCGCUUUCGCCUGUGACGAAGCGUGAGUGACGGUAAUGGGUAAAGAAGCACCGGCUAACUACGUG